This is a long non-coding RNA of Scylla paramamosain (green mud crab), 727 nucleotides long. RefSeq lists it as uncharacterized. The transcript has 4 exons. The record is from RefSeq and is a predicted model, not a curated record. NCBI's taxonomy places the organism in Eukaryota, Metazoa, Arthropoda, Malacostraca, Decapoda, Portunidae.
AGAGAGAGAGAGAGAGAGAGAGAGAGAGAGAGAGAGAUUUGUUUACAAAAUACAAACGUUUCCAGCUGAGGCGACGAGCAGGAGAGGCGGAGAGGCACAGGCUAGCAACUUGUGAUCAACUGACGAACUGAGCAAGGGUGUGGUGAAGAUCACCAACUGAGGCUAUAUCUACACCUCAUCAGAAUGUAUGAAGACAAGCUCAUUCAGUUCAAGAAGCAGCUGCAACAGCUGCGUGACAACUUGCACCCAGAGUACAACAAAAAGCUGAAGAAGAUUGAUGUAGCCUACAAGGAAAGAUUCCCCAACAUAUCCAAAUUAGGAUGAUGCCUCGCAAUGGAGAACUUUUAUUUUGGCAUUUGGGAACCGUUACUCUGAGUGGAUACCCUUAACCUCAGACCGUGGCUAUGAUUUGAACCCAUGUGCCUGAGAAUCCAUUGUAACCCAACUGGCCGCACUACCACUGUACCAUGGCGGUACCCUAGCUGAUAUCUCUAUAUAUACAGUUAAAAGAAAAAAAGUGAGUCACAAAAAUCAGAACAAAGUAAAGUUCAAUGUAAUUGAUGCAAAAAUCAUUGAAUUAUUUUCAACUAGUUAAACUGUAUUUAUGGUUGAAAUACUACACACUUGUAUGUGUGUGUGUGCGUAUAUGUGUGUGUCUGUGCAUAUGUAAUGGACCACAAUGUUCUGAAUAAAAUCUCCAUGUUGAGGAUUUCAAGAAAACGUCAAG